This 484-nucleotide ribosomal RNA is filed under the name uncultured bacterium. RNAcentral's name for it is "partial 16S ribosomal RNA". It matches the Rfam family "Bacterial small subunit ribosomal RNA", at positions 30 to 507 of the family's 1533-position model. The record is from RNAcentral.
AUUGAACGCUGGCGGCAGGCCUAACACAUGCAAGUCGAGCGGAUGAAGGGAGCUUGCUCCUGGAUUCAGCGGCGGACGGGUGAGUAAUGCCUAGGAAUCUGCCUGGUAGUGGGGGAUAACGUCCGGAAACGGGCGCUAGUACCGCAUACGUCCUGAGGGAGAAAGUGGGGGAUCUUCGGACCUCACGCUAUCAGAUGAGCCUAGGUCGGAUUAGCUAGUUGGUGGGGUAAAGGCCUACCAAGGCGACGAUCCGUAACUGGUCUGAGAGGAUGAUCAGUCACACUGGAACUGAGACACGGUCCAGACUCCUACGGGAGGCAGCAGUGGGGAAUAUUGGACAAUGGGCGAAAGCCUGAUCCAGCCAUGCCGCGUGUGUGAAGAAGGUCUUCGGAUUUUAAAGCACUUUAAGUUGGGAGGAAGGGCAGUAAGUUAAUACCUUGCUGUUUUGACGUUACCAACAGAAUAAGCACCGGCUAACUUCGUG